UGGGGAAUAUUGCACAAUGGGCGCAAGCCUGAUGCAGCCAUGCCGCGUGUAUGAAGAAGGCCUUCGGGUUGUAAAGUACUUUCAGCGGGGAGGAAGGGAGUAAAGUUAAUACCUUUGCCCAUUGACGUUACCCGCAGAAGAAGCACCGGCUAACUCCGUGCCAGCAGCCGCGGUAAUACGGAGGGUGCAAGCGUUAAUCGGAAUUACUGGGCUUAAAGCGCACGCAGGCGGUUUGUUAAGUCAGAUGUGAAAUCCCCGGGCUCAACCUGGGAACUGCAUCUGAUACUGGCAAGCUUGAUUCUCGUAGAGGGGGGUAGAAUUCCAGGUGUAGCGGUGAAAUGCGUAGAGAUCUGGAGGAAUACCGGUGGCGAAGGCGGCCCCCUGGACAAAGACUGACGCUCAGGUGCGAAAGCGUGGGGAGCAAACAGG
Molecule: ribosomal RNA, 429 nt
Filed under: Chloroflexota bacterium
Lineage: Bacteria; Bacillati; Chloroflexota
Description: Chloroflexi bacterium partial 16S ribosomal RNA
Rfam family: Bacterial small subunit ribosomal RNA
Source: RNAcentral